RNAcentral lists this small RNA (181 nucleotides) under Callithrix jacchus (white-tufted-ear marmoset). RNAcentral describes it as "Metazoan signal recognition particle RNA (ENSCJAG00000069056.2)". Lineage: Eukaryota; Metazoa; Chordata; Mammalia; Primates; Cebidae. The record is from RNAcentral.
GCUGGGCAUGGUGCCGCGUGCCUGUAGUUCCAGCUACUCAGGAGGCUGAGGCAGGAGAAUUGCCUGAACCCAGGAGGCGGAGGUUGUGGUGAGCCGAGAUUGCGCCAUUGCACUCCAGCCUGGGUAAUCUCAGCUCACUGUAAUCUUCGCCUCCUGGGUCCAAGGUAUUCUCCUGCCUCAG